UACGUAGGGUGCAAGCGUUAUCCGGAUUUACUGGGUUUAAAGGGUGCGUAGGUGGACUGGUAAGUCAGUGGUGAAAUCCUUGGGCUUAACUCAAGAAUUGCCAUUGAUACUACUUGUCUUGAAUUUGGUUGAGGUGAGCGGAAUAUGUCAUGUAGCGGUGAAAUGCUUAGAUAUGACAUAGAACACCCAUUGCGAAGGCAGCUCACUAAACCAACAUUGACGCUGAGGCACGAAAGCGUGGGUAUCAAACAGG
This 253-nucleotide ribosomal RNA is filed under the name uncultured bacterium. Its description in RNAcentral is "partial 16S ribosomal RNA". It matches the Rfam family "Bacterial small subunit ribosomal RNA", at positions 524 to 776 of the family's 1533-position model. The record is from RNAcentral.